This is a long non-coding RNA of Teleopsis dalmanni, 2510 nucleotides long. RefSeq lists it as uncharacterized. The record is from RefSeq and is a predicted model, not a curated record. Lineage: Eukaryota; Metazoa; Arthropoda; Insecta; Diptera; Diopsidae. The transcript is spliced from 5 exons.
AUUGAGUUUUAUAGGCCGUGUUUCUACCGAAUGUAUUUCAAAUAUUCUAGAAUGAUACAAUUUUAUAGCAAUGUGAUUAAAAGUUUUAUUUUUAAUGCUGAUUGCGAGUAUAAUUUCUUAUUUAGUUGAUAUAAUUUUCUAGUUUGCUAUUUUGGAAAAUUGAAAACACAUGCGGACACUGCACUCUGCACACUGCACACUUGUUGUUUUUGGCACUUUACAUGUGGGUAACUUUUAUAAAAAUCAAAAGCGUUGAACUGUGAUCAUGAAGUAAGUUUGACUAACUGAACAUAAUAAUAUGGUAAUAUGAUUCGUCAGUCACAUCAACGAAGCUGCAAUGUUUCCGCACCGCACCAUACAGCAGGACAGCAGAAUUAUGAUAAGAAGCUUGAUAAACAAAGCUUCGUGUUUAUGAAGCUUGAUUUUCGUGUGAUGGGAAAAUACUAUAAUUGACUGUAUAUAGUGAGUAUUUUUUUUUUGUUUGGCAAAAAGGAACUUGUCAGAUCGCUUCGUUGGAAUAUGUUAAUUUUAACUUCAUCAAAUGACAUAAUAAUGCCAAUAAACGCGACCUUAACUCAACUCCAGCAAAUGCAUCAAUUUCAACAUCAACUUUAUCCACCUUAAUAAUAAUUGAAUAAUUACUAAGCUAUUUAAAUGAAACCACAUCAAUGACUGAUGCAGCUACAAAAUUAAAUGGACAUGUAGGGAGAUGCUUUCCAACAACAUAAACAGCAUCAACAAAAUUAAAUGUAUCAAUUAAAAAUUAGUUUUGUUUGCUAUUUUGGAAAAUUGAAAACACAUGCGGACACUGCACUCUGCACACUGCACACUUGUUGUUUUUGGCACUUUACAUGUGGGUAACUUUUAUAAAAAUCAAAAGCGUUGAACUGUGAUCAUGAAGUAAGUUUGACUAACUGAACAUAAUAAUAUGGUAAUAUGAUUCGUCAGUCACAUCAACGAAGCUGCAAUGUUUCCGCACCGCACCAUACAGCAGGACAGCAGAACUAUGAUAAGAAAAAUUUGAAGUUUAAUUUUCAUGUGAUCGGAAAAUACUAUAAUUGACUGUAUAUAGUGAGCAUUUUUUUUUUUUUUGGCAAAAAGGAACUUUUCAGAUCGCUUCGUUGGAAUAUGUUAAUUUUAACUUCAUCAAACGACAUAAUAAUGUCAAUAAACGCGACCUCAACUAGUAUAUCACCAGCAAAUGCAUCAAUUUCAACAUCAACUUUAUCCACCUUAAUAAUAAUUGAAUAAUUACUAAGCUAUUUAAAUGAAACCACAUCAAUGACUGAUGCAGCUACAAAAUUAAAUGGACAUGUAGGGAGAUGCUUUCCAACAACAUAAACAGCAUCAACAAAAUUAAAUGUAUCAAUUAAAAAUUAGUUUUGUUGAACUGUGAUCAUGAAGUAAGUUUGACUAACUGAACAUAAUAAUAUGGUAAUAUGAUUCGUCAGUCACAUCAACGAAGCUGCAAUGUUUCCGCACCGCACCAUACAGCAGGACAGCAGAAUUAUGAUAAGAAGCUUGAUAAACAAAGCUUCGUGUUUAUGAAGCUUGAUUUUCUUGUGAUGGGAAAAUACUAUAAUUGACUGUAUAUAGUGAGUAUUUUUUUUUUGUUUGGCAAAAAGGAACUUGUCAGAUCGCUUCAUUGGAAUAUGUUAAUUUUAACUUCAUCAAACGACAUAAUAAUGCCAAUAAACGCGACCUUAACUCAACUCCAGCAAAUGCAUCAAUUUCAACAUCAACUUUAUCCACCUUAAUAAUAAUUGAAUAAUUACUAAGCUAUUUAAAUGAAACCACAUCAAUGACUGAUGCAGCUACAAAAUUAAAUGGACAUGUAGGGAGAUGCUUUCCAACAACAUAAACAGCAUCAACAAAAUUAAAUGUAUCAAUUAAAAAUUAGUUUUGGUAAGUCAUAACUAUUAUGUGUUGUUAAGUGUCUUUAGUUUUAGCACAAGAAUAUGAUUGUAAGAAUGUAUUGAGCCAAAAACUUAGAAAUGAAAAAUUUAUAUGUUACGGAUUAAAUUGAAGAUGCGGUUAAAUGGCCGAAAACAGAGAGCAGGUGCCGCAAAUACAACAUCCAAUCUAUGCCUAAAUUAGCUGAAGUGUGUAUGAAAAUUUAUAAAUUUAUAAAUUUUUGAAAGUCGUGAUUAUUUGAAAUUGUCAUAAAAGGCCUCACUUGAAAGAUGCCGAAAUUCUGUAAAUAUAUUUACAGUAUUUCACAUAAAUGCUUCCUGCUUUAGUGCGUUCUAUUUUUAAAUACAGUAAACAUUCAAUCAUAUUUUGUCAUAAUUUGAACAAAAGUCAUUAGCCGUUUGCGACAACAUAGCGACAUUUUUAUGAACGUAAUUAUAUCUGAAUAUUAAAGAUGUUAGUUUUGUAUUUGUUAGUAUAAGUAUUCAAUAACAUAUUCCUUAUAACUUUCGUUUAAAAAUUAAAGGGAAAAAACGACUCAUUUAAUUAUUUUUUUUUCGCUCGAGCGCCAUACGAUCUUAGCGGCAUUGUUUCCACAC